CCCUACCCUAAACCCUAGCGACAUACUAAACGCCGCAUAGAACACGCUUGAAUUGGCCGAGGACGCACGAUCAAUUCCCUGCAUAAACGGUACUGGAGUCCACAUUCACUUGAUAUGGGAUCUCGUAAUUGCGUCGAAGCAAACCGAGGAGAGUUUCCAGGCGGACUUGUCAACUCCAGAGACCGAUCUAGACGCAAUGGAGCCGGCAACUAGGGUUCCGUGAAGCGACAUUGGUGGCGGACCACGAGUGGCAACGAGUCGCGACUGGCGUUUGCAGCGCCGUGGGGUUGCGAUGGGAGGGAGCGGGUGAGCUCGCUCGGCGGUGCUGUCGAUGUGGGUGUCCUGUGCAAGCAUUAUUGACACGGCUUGUUUGUCUCGCCUUGCUUUUAGGGAUCAUCGGCCACUGUGUUACGUGUGGAGGUUUCGAUCCGUCCCGGCGCAAGGUAUGCUUUGUCUCGCCGUAAGGUCGCAACUGCAGCGAUACUUUCUGUCGUGCGGCGAUGGUGGUGUGGACUGGCGAGGCUGCGGGACAUUGGUGGUGAGUAGUUGCAACAUGUCACAUGUGUAAAAGCGAAAUAAAAAACCCUAAUCAAACUUAGAUGUGUUCAAUUAGCAAAGAGUUGUUUCAUGAUUAUGUACACUUAAGUUUUUGUGGCAAAGAUGAGUUCGUCCAUGCCAAUGUAACCCUAAACGCUCUUUGUACAUACUGUCCAACAUUUCUUCCUGUAUGAAGGUCAUUAUUGUCGUAAGGUGUACAAUUAGUUUGGUAAUAUAAGUGUUUUCAAAGAGAAUUUUUUAGAAUGAAAAAAUGCUUGUUCAAGAUGGAUUGGAACUUAGGUCAGUGUUUUGUAAAUUUGGAAUCAUUUUUGGAUUCUGGCUUUCAUUAUUGUUUAAUAAUCCAGUUUAGCGAAUCUCUUGGAGGAACUUUUGGAUUCUUACGGAAGUUUCUUGGAAAAUUUUAGAAUCUUAUGAAAGGAUUAAUAGAUUAGUAAUGUAUUUUGGAAAGUAGUGCAAAUAUUCUUAGAUUUUUAAUGAGUUUAGCUUUCUUUGGUACAACACACAACAUCAUUUGCAUUUAAAAAUCACAUGUGAUUGAAGAGGUAGUUUACUGUAAAUUGGAAAUAUGGACCAUUUUCAACAAUAAAUUUUACAACAUAUUUUUAUUAACCCCUCUAUAAAGAUUUUUAAAAUUUUAAAUAUGUAUUGGAGAAAUCUUGACAAUUAUAAUGUAAUGUUAUUGCUAUUUAAUAGAUAUAUAUGUCCAUUCGUUUAACGAUUAUGCAUGUAAUUGUGUGGAAUUAAUAAAUUUAAUUUAACACUUAAAAAUUGGAUAGAUCUUUACAAUAUUGUUAAAGAAUUAUAUCUAUCUUAUUAUAUUUUACUUAAAUAUCUUCAAAAUUCUAAUUAUAAAUUUCAUAGUAUUGCUAUUCAAAUUUUAAAAUGUUUGCAUUCAAAAGAAUUUAUACAAAUAUAAUAAUCAUAAUUAGAUAGAAAUACAUAAAGUUAUUUUAUUAAUCACUUUGGUUACAAUAACAAUACUGUUUCAGAUUUUGGUUGAUAUAUUCACUAAUAUCAUUGAUAUGUGCAUGGUUUUUGUAAAAAUAUUGGCAUUAGUAUUAU
Molecule: long non-coding RNA, 1620 nt
Filed under: Physcomitrium patens
Lineage: Eukaryota; Viridiplantae; Streptophyta; Bryopsida; Funariales; Funariaceae
Description: long non-coding RNA (PPAT_LNC012081)
Source: RNAcentral